CUUCAGUCUUUUCUGGUGGCGCCCCCCCCCCCCCUUUUCCUCCUGUAUCUUACUUCCCCGGGUUCAUUUUGCCUAAGGGGGCACAAAGUAUAGCGGAUCUGAGGCGGAGGAGGCGGCGGUGAGUGCCAGAGAAUUCCUAAAUCAGCCCUUAAUAACACUUUUCUUUUUUCUUUAUUUGUUGUUCCUAGUUUUUAAGAAACAUUUAAAUCACUAAUGAUAUGUAAACAAGUCUCUUCCUUUCCCCACCCUUGUGGUUUUUGUUUUUUAAACUAGUCCUUUGUAACAUUUUUCCUUUCACUCUUCCCUAAAUGCUUUGCUUUGACGCCUGAGGCUUGCAUGUGCACUAUUGAUUGCUUUUGUAUUUAGUUUUUGCAAACUGACUUGAUGCCUGAACCUUGAGUUUCUUGGCUUUAGUGGUCUGGCGUUUUUGUUGUGGCUGCUCGUGUUCAACGAUAGGCUUCGAUUGAAUGCUUAUUGGUCUUUCCUGCUCCUCUCUCCUCCCCCAAUUCCCCUGUCUCUCUCUGCUCCCACUCAUUCGUAGCUUCCUCCUCCUCUUUCUUUAGCUUUACGCUCUUCUACCCGGUCUUACUGCCUCAGGGCUAGACAGCCGGUACACUACGCUUCUCUAUUCUAGCAACGCUGUUCACUGCAGAUUAAACCAUCUCGCAUUGUGGGUAAUGGCGACUACCACUCCAAUGGUGCAGAGAACAGGAGGCCGGGCCAGUGGGCCUUCAACCCCGCUCAGCCCGACUCGGUUGUCUCGCUUGCGGGAGAAGGAGGAACUGCGAGAGCUUAAUGACCGGUUGGCGGUCUAUAUAGACAAAGUGCGGAGCCUAGAACUCGAGAAAAGCGUGCUGCAGCUGCAGGUGACUGAGCACGACCGCGAGCUCACUGGACUCAAGACGCUGUAUGAGACCGAGCUCGCGGAUGCCCGCCGGGCUUUGGACGACACGGCCUGCGAGAGAGCCAAGUUGCAGAUCGAACUGGGCAAGUUUAAGGCAGAACAUGAUCAGCUGCUGCUUAAUUAUACCAAGAAAGAAUCUGAUCUUAAUGGUGCCCAGAUUAAGCUUAGAGAAUACGAAGCUUCGCUGAAUGCCAAAGAAGCUGCCUUGGCUACAGCACUUGGUGACAAGAAAAGCCUGGAGAAUGACUUGAAGGAGCUGAGGGACCAAAUUGUACAGUUGGAAGCUUCCUUAGCAGCUACCAAGAAUCAGUUAGCAGAUGAAACCUUACUUAAAGUAGAUCUUGAGAACCAUUGUCAAAGUCUCACUGAAGACCUGGAGUUUCGCAAAAAUAUGUAUGAAGAGGAGAUCAAUGAAACAAGAAGAAAACAUGAAACACGCUUAGUAGAAGUGGAUUCUGGGCGCCAGAUUGAGUAUGAGUAUAAAUUGGCUCAAGCAGUACACGAGAUGAGAGAACAGCACAAUGAACAAGUGAAAUUGUACAAAGAGGAGCUAGAACAGAGUUAUCAUGCCAAACUUGAAAAUGCUAGAUUGUCCUCAGAGAUGACUGCAUUCACUGUCAACAGUGCCAGAGAAGAACUGAUGGAAAGCCAAAUGAGGAUUGAAAGCCUUUCCUCCCAGCUUUCUAAUUUACAGAAAGAGUAUAGAGCAUGCUUGGAUAGGAUGCAAGAGCUGGAGGAUUUGCUUGUAAAAGAAAGAGACAACUCUCGACGACUGCUAUCCGAUAAAGAAAGGGAAAUGGCAGAAGUAAGGAAUCAAAUGCAGCAACAGUUAAAUGAAUAUGAACAACUUCUAGAUGUGAAAUUAGCCCUAGAUGUGGAAAUCCGUGCAUAUAGGAAAUUGUUGGAAGUUGAAGAAGAAAGGUUGAAGCUUUCUCCAACUCCUUCUUCUCGUGUAACAGUGUCAAGAGCAUCAUCUAGUCAAAGUGUGCGUACAACUAAAGGAAAGAGGAAGAGAGUUGAUGUGGAGGAAUCUGAGGCGAGUAGUAGCAUCAGCAUCUCUCAUUCAGCCUCAGCUACUGGAAAUGUUUGCAUUGAAAAGAUAGAUGUAGAUGGAAAAUUUAUUUGCCUAAAGAACACUUCUGAACAGGAUCAACCAAUGGGAGGCUGGGAGAUGAUCAGAAAAAUAGGAGAUAGUUCUGUCACUUAUAAAUAUUCUUCAAGAUAUGUAUUGAAAGCAGGCCAAACUGUUACAGUAAGAAAACUGAGGACAAGAGGUGAAAUGACUUGUUUACAUUCACACAGAUUUGGGCUGCAAAUGCUGGAGUCACUGCAUCUCCUCCCACUGACCUUAUCUGGAAAAAUCAGAACUCUUGGGGUACUGGUGAAGAUGUGAAAGUUAUAUUAAAAAAUUCUCAGGGAGAGGAGGUUGCUCAAAGAAGUACAGUCUUCAAAACAACUUUACCUGAAGAGGAGGAGGAGGAAGAAGAGGGAAAGAAAGAAGUUAUUGAAGCAGUUGAGGAAGAGAAUGUUUCUCGUCAGCAGGGAGACCUAAGAACAUCCAAGAGAAGCUGUGCAAUUAUGUGAAUUAUUCAACUAUCUUUCUCAAAAUUAGAAACUGCAGUAAUCCUCAUCUACAUACACUCAGAACCUUCUCAGAAGCACAAAGUAUUUUUAUAUUUCCUUUAUGUGAAUUUAUAAGCUGGAAGCCUUAAUGGCCUUAAUUUCCUUUUUGACACUGAAAAAUAUGUUUUAUAAAACAAACUCUAUCAUAACUUUUCUGUAAAAUGUGAAUUAUUGAUUGUGUAUUUUUUUUAAUCCUUCAAAUUUCUCUGCCAUUUUUGUGUUACUGUAUUUUUCUUGAUCUUUAUUUUUGAAAGCUUUUGUGAGAAGGAGAAAUAAACCACUGUGUCUGGGAGUUAUUUGGAGAUUUCUCCAUCUAAAUUAUCAUUGUGCUAUUAUUGAUGAUUCUCUAUUAUGUAUAAUGGUGCUGUGAGGGAGAGGGAAAGCAUUUUCAAUAUUUUGGACAUUUUUGUAUCUGGGGUUUUUUUUUUUGUAAUAAUAAAGGUGUUACAGAUUUUUUUGAUAGAAAAAUUGAAACUUUGUAAGACAUUAAUGUUGCCUAAUUAUGUGAACAUUCAAUAAAAGCUACAAUAAAACUUG
This is an RNA transcript of Sarcophilus harrisii (Tasmanian devil), 3064 nucleotides long. It is a transcript of the gene named lamin B1, with no coding region annotated. The transcript has 12 exons. The record is from RefSeq and is a predicted model, not a curated record. Lineage: Eukaryota; Metazoa; Chordata; Mammalia; Dasyuromorphia; Dasyuridae.